Small nucleolar RNA from Tachyglossus aculeatus (Australian echidna), 137 nucleotides. Lineage: Eukaryota; Metazoa; Chordata; Mammalia; Monotremata; Tachyglossidae. The record is from RefSeq and is a predicted model, not a curated record.
CCCCUCUCAGGGUCAUACCUGGAGAGUUUCCAGUACUCUUCCAGUCACGACUACAGGUGGGAGAGUAAGCAGAGGCAUACCCACUCCAUUCCUGGCUUGGGUAGUGGCUAGUGAGUGGAAGGCAAUCUGCUACAAAU